UAGGGAAUCUUCGGCAAUGGGGGCAACCCUGACCGAGCAACGCCGCGUGAGUGAAGAAGGUUUUCGGAUCGUAAAGCUCUGUAGUAAGAGAAGAACGAGUGUGAGAGUGGAAAGUUCACACUGUGACGGUAACUUACCAGAAAGGGACGGCUAACUACGUGCCAGCAGCCGCGGUAAUACGUAGGUCCCGAGCGUUAUCCGGAUUUAUUGGGCGUAAAGCGAGCGCAGGCGGUUAGAUAAGUCUGAAGUUAAAGGCUGUGGCUUAACCAUAGUACGCUUUGGAAACUGUUUAACUUGAGUGCAGAAGGGGAGAGUGGAAUUCCAUGUGUAGCGGUGAAAUGCGUAGAUAUAUGGAGGAACACCGGUGGCGAAAGCGGCUCUCUGGUCUGUAACUGACGCUGAGGCUCGAAAGCGUGGGGAGCAAACAGGAUUAGAUACCCUGGUAGUCCACGCCGUAAACGAUGAGUGCUAGGUGUUGGGUCCUUUCCGGGACUCAGUGCCGCAGCUAACGCAUUAAGCACUCCGCCUGGGGAGUACGACCGCAAGGUU
This 549-nucleotide ribosomal RNA is filed under the name uncultured bacterium. RNAcentral's name for it is "bacterial SSU rRNA". It matches the Rfam family "Bacterial small subunit ribosomal RNA", at positions 355 to 895 of the family's 1533-position model. The record is from RNAcentral.